Molecule: long non-coding RNA, 425 nt
Filed under: Apteryx rowi (Okarito brown kiwi)
Lineage: Eukaryota; Metazoa; Chordata; Aves; Apterygiformes; Apterygidae
Description: lncRNA (ENSARWG00000013035.1)
Source: RNAcentral
CCGCCGCCGGCCCGGCCCGGCCCGGCCCGCUGAGGCGGCGGAAGGAGCUGCCGCGCCCCGCCGCGGCGCGCAGGUGGCGCCGGGGGCCGCCGGGCGGCGGGGCGGGGCGGGGCCCGGAGCCGGAGCCGGAGCCGGAGCCGGAGCAGGGCCGCGGCGCUCGGGAAGGGCCGGGCCGGGCCGGGGCAUUGGCUGGGGCCGCGGGGGCGCCGCCGGCGCGGCGCUGGGGGCGCCUGAAGGGGGAGAAAGCGUCGCGGGCAGCGAGCGCCGAGAGCCGCCGCCGGCAGAGGAGGAACCGGACCGGACCGGACCGGCGCGCGGCUCCGGCGUCGCUGAGGGUCUCCGCGCCGCGGUUCCGAGGGUUGCGUUAUUUUUCAAGCCGCGGAAAGCGUAGCGGCCAGCGGGGAACGCGAUGCCACAUGAACUGA